Bombus huntii is the source of this 317-nucleotide long non-coding RNA. RefSeq lists it as uncharacterized. The transcript has 2 exons. NCBI's taxonomy places the organism in Eukaryota, Metazoa, Arthropoda, Insecta, Hymenoptera, Apidae. The record is from RefSeq and is a predicted model, not a curated record.
GUCAAAAAUUAGCCAAUUUUAUAAUCAGUAGACUGCCGUACGUUUGUGCAUUUAUGGGAUAUUUAAAAACGUGAAAAUUCAUAGAACGUACAUGGCACGUUGAGUGAUACGAGGAUCAUAGCGAAAAAAGUACGAUAAGCAAUUUAAAAAAAACUUUAUUAUCUUUGGAUCUAAGAAGUUCAAAGAGGCGUCGUUUCAAGGCGUACGUUUCUUUUAAUCGCGUCCGUAAAAAAAUAUGAAUUUCUAUGAUCUAAUAAUUGGAAUGUAAUUAAAAAGGUGAAAUUUAGAUAGAAAAUUAUAUUACCAACUAAACGUUA